AUUGAACGCUGGCGGCAGGCCUAACACAUGCAAGUCGAGCGGUAGAGAGAAGCUUGCUUCUCUUGAGAGCGGCGGACGGGUGAGUAAUACCUAGGAAUCUGCCUGAUAGUGGGGGAUAACGUUCGGAAACGGACGCUAAUACCGCAUACGUCCUACGGGAGAAAGCAGGGGACCUUCGGGCCUUGCGCUAUAAGAUGAGCCUAGGUCGGAUUAGCUAGUUGGUGAGGUAAUGGCUCACCAAGGCUACGAUCCGUAACUGGUCUGAGAGGAUGAUCAGUCACACUGGAACUGAGACACGGUCCAGACUCCUACGGGAGGCAGCAGUGGGGAAUAUUGGACAAUGGGCGAAAGCCUGAUCCAGCCAUGCCGCGUGUGUGAAGAAGGUCUUCGGAUUGUAAAGCACUUUAAGUUGGGUAGGAAGGGCAUUAACCUAAUACGUUAGUGUCUUGACGUUACCGACAGAAUAAGCACCGGCUAAACUCUGUGCCAGCAGCCGCGU
This 499-nucleotide ribosomal RNA is filed under the name uncultured bacterium. RNAcentral describes it as "bacterial SSU rRNA". It matches the Rfam family "Bacterial small subunit ribosomal RNA", at positions 30 to 520 of the family's 1533-position model. The record is from RNAcentral.